Molecule: ribosomal RNA, 914 nt
Filed under: uncultured bacterium
Lineage: Bacteria
Description: bacterial SSU rRNA
Rfam family: Bacterial small subunit ribosomal RNA
Source: RNAcentral
AGAGUUUGAUCCUGGCUCAGGAUGAACGCUAGCGGCAGGCUUAAUACAUGCAAGUCGAGGGGCAGCAUGACUGUAGCAAUACAGUUGAUGGCGACCGGCAAACGGGUGCGGAACACGUACACAACCUUCCUUUAAGCGGGGAAUAGCCCGGGGAAACCCGGAUUAAUACCCCAUAGUAUAUUGAAGAGGCAUCUCUUUACUAUUAAAGAUUUAUCACUUGAAGAUGGGUGUGCGGCUGAUUAGCUAGUUGGCGGGGUAACGGCCCACCAAGGCAACGAUCAGUAACUGGUGUGAGAGCACGACCAGUCACACGGGCACUGAGACACGGGCCCGACUCCUACGGGAGGCAGCAGUAAGGAAUAUUGGUCAAUGGACGCAAGUCUGAACCAGCCAUGCCGCGUGGAGGAUGAAGGUCCUCUGGAUUGUAAACUUCUUUUAUCUGGGACGAAAAAAGGUCUUUCUAGAUCAACUGACGGUACCAGAUGAAUAAGCACCGGCUAACUCCGUGCCAGCAGCCGCGGUAAUACGGAGGGUGCAAGCGUUAUCCGGAUUCACUGGGUUUAAAGGGUGCGUAGGUGGAUUAGUAAGUCAGUGGUGAAAUCUCCGGGCUUAACCCGGAAACUGCCAUUGAUACUAUUAGUCUUGAAUACCGUGGAGGUCAGCGGAAUAUGUCAUGUAGCGGUGAAAUGCUUAGAUAUGACAUAGAACACCAAUUGCGAAGGCAGCUGGCUACACGAGCAUUGACACUCAGGCACGAAAGCGUGGGGAUCAAACAGGAUUAGAUACCCUGGUAGUCCACGCCCUAAACUAUGGAUACUCGACAUACGCGAUACACAGUGUGUGUCUGAGCGAAAGCAUUAAGUAUCCCACCUGGGAAGUACGAUCGCAAGAUUGAAACUCAAAGGAAUUGACGG